RNAcentral lists this ribosomal RNA (422 nucleotides) under uncultured bacterium. RNAcentral describes it as "partial 16S ribosomal RNA". It matches the Rfam family "Bacterial small subunit ribosomal RNA", at positions 355 to 774 of the family's 1533-position model. The record is from RNAcentral.
UGAGGAAUAUUGGACAAUGGGUGAGAGCCUGAUCCAGCCAUCCCGCGUGAAGGAUGACGGUCCUAUGGAUUGUAAACUUCUUUUGUACAGGGAUAAACCUACUCUCGUGAGGGUAGCUGAAGGUACUGUACGAAUAAGCACCGGCUAACUCCGUGCCAGCAGCCGCGGUAAUACGGAGGGUGCAAGCGUUAUCCGGAUUUAUUGGGUUUAAAGGGUCCGUAGGCGGACUUGUAAGUCAGUGGUGAAAUCUCAUAGCUUAACUAUGAAACUGCCAUUGAUACUGCCGGUCUUGAGUAAAUUUGAAGUGGCUGGAAUAAGUAGUGUAGCGGUGAAAUGCAUAGAUAUUACUUAGAACACCAAUUGCGAAGGCAGGUCACUAAGAUUUAACUGACGCUGAUGGACGAAAGCGUGGGGAGCGAACA